This 251-nucleotide ribosomal RNA is filed under the name Staphylococcus aureus. Its description in RNAcentral is "partial 16S ribosomal RNA". It matches the Rfam family "Bacterial small subunit ribosomal RNA", at positions 1122 to 1374 of the family's 1533-position model. The record is from RNAcentral. Lineage: Bacteria; Bacillati; Bacillota; Bacilli; Caryophanales; Staphylococcaceae.
CAUUAAGUUGGGCACUCUAAGUUGACUGCCGGUGACAAACCGGAGGAAGGUGGGGAUGACGUCAAAUCAUCAUGCCCCUUAUGAUUUGGGCUACACACGUGCUACAAUGGACAAUACAAAGGGUAGCGAAACCGCGAGGUCAAGCAAAUCCCAUAAAGUUGUUCUCAGUUCGGAUUGUAGUCUGCAACUCGACUACAUGAAGCUGGAAUCGCUAGUAAUCGUAGAUCAGCAUGCUACGGUGAAUACGUUCC